CUACGGGCCGCUCCAGUGGGGAAUAUUGGACAAUGGGGGAAACCCUGAUCCAGCAAUGCCGCGUGUGUGAAGAAGGCCUGCGGGUUGUAAAGCACUUUCGGUUGGGAGGACUGCUUCUAGCACUAAUAUUGUUGGAAGUUGACGUUACCUUCAGAAGAAGCACCGGCUAACUCCGUGCCAGCAGCCGCGGUAAUACGGAGGGUGCAAGCGUUAAUCGGAAAUACUGGGCGUAAAGCGCGCGGAGGCGGCUAGAUCAGUCGGGUGUGAAAGCCCCGGGCUUAACCUGGGAACUGCAUCCGAUACUGUCUAGCUUGAGUACAGGAGAGGAGAGUGGAAUUCCACAUGUAGCGGUGAAAUGCGUAGAUAUGUGGAGGAACACCAAUGGCGAAGGCAGCUCUCUGGCCUGAUACUGACGCUGAGGUGCGAAAGCGUGGGGAGCAAACGGGAUUAGAUACCCCAGUAGUC
This 465-nucleotide ribosomal RNA is filed under the name uncultured bacterium. Its description in RNAcentral is "partial 16S ribosomal RNA". It matches the Rfam family "Bacterial small subunit ribosomal RNA", at positions 339 to 795 of the family's 1533-position model. The record is from RNAcentral.